GACGAACGCUGGCGGCGUGCUUAACACAUGCAAGUCGAACGGAAAGGCCCUGCUUUUGUGGGGUGCUCGAGUGGCGAACGGGUGAGUAACACGUGAGUAACCUGCCCUUGACUUUGGGAUAACUUCAGGAAACUGGGGCUAAUACCGGAUAGGAGCUCCUGCUGCAUGGUGGGGGUUGGAAAGCUUCGGCGGUUGGGGAUGGACUCGCGGCUUAUCAGCUUGUUGGUGGGGUAGUGGCUUACCAAGGCUUUGACGGGUAGCCGGCCUGAGAGGGUGACCGGCCACAUUGGGACUGAGAUACGGCCCAGACUCCUACGGGAGGCAGCAGUGGGGAAUAUUGCACAAUGGGCGGAAGCCUGAUGCAGCAACGCCGCGUGCGGGAUGACGGCCUUCGGGUUGUAAACCGCUUUCGCCUGUGACGAAGCGUGAGUGACGGUAAUGGGUAAAGAAGCACCGGCUAACUACGUGCCAGCAGCCGCGGUGAUACGUAGGGUGCGAGCGUUGUCCGGAUUUAUUGGGCGUAAAGGGCUCGUAGGUGGUUGAUCGCGUCGGAAGUGUAAUCUUGGGGCUUAACCCUGAGCGUGCUUUCGAUACGGGUUGACUUGAGGGAGGUAGGGGAGAAUGGAAUUCCUGGUGGAGCGGUGGAAUGCGCAGAUAUCAGGAGGAACACCAGUGGCGAAGGCGGUUCUCUGGGCCUUUCCUGACGCUGAGGAGCGAAAGCGUGGGGAGCGAACAGGCUUAGAUACCCUGGUAGUCCACGCUGUAAACGGUGGGUACUAGGUGUGGGGUCCAUUCCACGGGUUCCGUGCCGUAGCUAACGCUUUAAGUACCCCGCCUGGGGAGUACGGCCGCAAGGCUAAAACUCAAAGGAACUGACGGGGCCCCGCACAAGCGGCGGAGCAUGCGGAUUAAUUCGAUGCAACGCGUAGAACCUUACCUGGGUUUGACAUGGAUCGGGAGUGCUCAGAGAUGGGUGUGCCUCUUUUGGGGUCGGUUCACAGGUGGUGCAUGCCUGUCGUCAGCUCGUGUCGUGAGAUGUUGGGUUAAGUCCCGCAACGAGCGCAACCCUUGUUCACUGUUGCCAGCACGUUAUGGUGGGGACUCAGUGGAGACCGCCGGGGUCAACUCGGAGGAAGGUGGGGAUGACGUCAAGUCCUCAUGCCCCUUAUGUCCAGGGCUUCACGCAUGCUACAAUGGCUGGUACAGAGAGUGGCGAGCCUGUGAGGGUGAGCGAAUCUCGGAAAGCCGGUCUCAGUUCGGAUUGGGGUCUGCAACUCGACCUCAUGAAGUCGGAGUCGCUAGUAAUCGCAGAUCAGCAACGCUGCGGUGAAUAAGUUCCCGGGGCU
This 1346-nucleotide ribosomal RNA is filed under the name uncultured bacterium. RNAcentral's name for it is "bacterial SSU rRNA". It matches the Rfam family "Bacterial small subunit ribosomal RNA", at positions 28 to 1381 of the family's 1533-position model. The record is from RNAcentral.